AAAGUCUUUAGUAUCUCGAAGUUCUGCGUACUACGCAGAGGGUUUUUUAGAGGUGUUUUGGGCUUU
Molecule: non-coding RNA, 66 nt
Filed under: Riemerella anatipestifer RA-CH-1
Lineage: Bacteria; Pseudomonadati; Bacteroidota; Flavobacteriia; Flavobacteriales; Weeksellaceae
Source: RNAcentral